Molecule: ribosomal RNA, 1234 nt
Filed under: Bacillus amyloliquefaciens
Lineage: Bacteria; Bacillati; Bacillota; Bacilli; Caryophanales; Bacillaceae
Description: bacterial SSU rRNA
Rfam family: Bacterial small subunit ribosomal RNA
Source: RNAcentral
UGCCUAAUACAUGCAAGUCGAGCGGACAGAUGGGAGCUUGCUCCCUGAUGUUAGCGGCGGACGGGUGAGUAACACGUGGGUAACCUGCCUGUAAGACUGGGAUAACUCCGGGAAACCGGGGCUAAUACCGGAUGGUUGUYUGAACCGCAUGGUUCAGACAUAAAAGGUGGCUUCGGCUACCACUUACAGAUGGACCCGCGGCGCAUUAGCUAGUUGGUGAGGUAACGGCUCACCAAGGCGACGAUGCGUAGCCGACCUGAGAGGGUGAUCGGCCACACUGGGACUGAGACACGGCCCAGACUCCUACGGGAGGCAGCAGUAGGGAAUCUUCCGCAAUGGACGAAAGUCUGACGGAGCAACGCCGCGUGAGUGAUGAAGGUUUUCGGAUCGUAAAGCUCUGUUGUUAGGGAAGAACAAGUGCCGUUCAAAUAGGGCGGCACCUUGACGGUACCUAACCAGAAAGCCACGGCUAACUACGUGCCAGCAGCCGCGGUAAUACGUAGGUGGCAAGCGUUGUCCGGAAUUAUUGGGCGUAAAGGGCUCGCAGGCGGUUUCUUAAGUCUGAUGUGAAAGCCCCCGGCUCAACCGGGGAGGGUCAUUGGAAACUGGGGAACUUGAGUGCAGAAGAGGAGAGUGGAAUUCCACGUGUAGCGGUGAAAUGCGUAGAGAUGUGGAGGAACACCAGUGGCGAAGGCGACUCUCUGGUCUGUAACUGACGCUGAGGAGCGAAAGCGUGGGGAGCGAACAGGAUUAGAUACCCUGGUAGUCCACGCCGUAAACGAUGAGUGCUAAGUGUUAGGGGGUUUCCGCCCCUUAGUGCUGCAGCUAACGCAUUAAGCACUCCGCCUGGGGAGUACGGUCGCAAGACUGAAACUCAAAGGAAUUGACGGGGGCCCGCACAAGCGGUGGAGCAUGUGGUUUAAUUCGAAGCAACGCGAAGAACCUUACCAGGUCUUGACAUCCUCUGACAAUCCUAGAGAUAGGACGUCCCCUUCGGGGGCAGAGUGACAGGUGGUGCAUGGUUGUCGUCAGCUCGUGUCGUGAGAUGUUGGGUUAAGUCCCGCAACGAGCGCAACCCUUGAUCUUAGUUGCCAGCAUUCAGUUGGGCACUCUAAGGUGACUGCCGGUGACAAACCGGAGGAAGGUGGGGAUGACGUCAAAUCAUCAUGCCCCUUAUGACCUGGGCUACACACGUGCUACAAUGGACAGAACAAAGGGCAGCGAAACCGCGAGG